This 1019-nucleotide long non-coding RNA is filed under the name Homo sapiens (human). RNAcentral's name for it is "HSALNT0054480". The record is from RNAcentral. Lineage: Eukaryota; Metazoa; Chordata; Mammalia; Primates; Hominidae.
CGGCCAGCCUCGCACUGGCUGCACAGCGGCUUCUCGGCCACCACAAAGAGAAGAUUGGUGUUGGUCAGUCUCUGCGCGUGGAACAGCCUGCGGGCAGCCCGGAAAGGCGGGGCGUUGAGUUUGCCCCGCCCUGACCCACCCCCAUCCUGCGGCCCCGCCCCCGGCCGCUCGGAGGCCCCGCCCCUUCCAUCCUCCCGAGCGUCUCGCCCCGCUCACAGGUUCCGCCCUUGGCCUCUGGUCCCGCCCCACUGCCAGCACCUGGAGCAGUUUCCGCAGUCGAUGAUGGCGUUGUAGGAGGCGUUUACCGAGCCGAAGUAGUACUGGGUCUGUUUCAUGACGCAGCUGCUCUCGCGCGUCUCGGGGCUCCCCUCGGCCUCCGCGGGGUCUGCGAGGGCCCAGAGCGCCUCAGCUCCGCCCACAGACCCUGGCAAGGUCUCCGGCCUCCCUCAGUCGUAGACCCCACCCUCCCCAUGGAGUCGUCUUAGCUCAGAUUGGGGACCCGGACUUGAGGAGGCGCCUCCAAAGCCCUACCUACCUGCUUGGAACCAGCUGUGGUAGAUGAGGCCGUAGAGAAGCUGCUGGAACAGGGACCUGCAGCGCACGGGGAGCCGAGUGCAGGUGGUCAGCAGAGGACGAUGCCAUGCCCUACUUCUCUUCUGAGCCCUCCCGGCCAGGGAGCACCUUCUCUACCCACCUCCCGCUCAGGACUCACCAGGCGGCAGCAGAGGUCCACCAGGCCAGGUUAAGGAAAUCUGCAACGGUGGGCUGCAGUGGAGAGAGGGGCGUGGACUGCCACUGCUGCCCCUCGCCCUAGGUCACCCCCAGCUUUAUCAAAUGUCAGAGCACCAGGAAUCCUCCAUCAUCAAUGAGGACACAGAGCUGCGGCGGUAGAAGCUGGCAUUGAAGGGCUCAGGGUUCUCUGUCCAGUCCUCAGCUGCCCUGGAGCACCCAAGAGGCAGACUGGUAGGUAAGGGGUGGCUUGUCGGGGACAGUGGUCUCCACAGAUGCAAGGAGGCCUC